AUUCCCGUUGAUCCUGCGGGAGGUUGCUGCUAUUGGGAUUCGACUAAGCCAUGCAAGUCAAGGGGUUUCUUCGGAAACACCGGCGAACUGCUCAGUAACACGUCAAUAAUUUACCCUUAGGUCCAGAAUAACUUUGGGAAACUGAGGCUAAUGCUGGAUAAGAAAAGAGUAUUGGAAUAUCUCUUUUCUGAAAGCUCCGGCGCCUAAGGAUGAGUUGGCGGCUGAUUAGGUUGUUGGCGAGGUAAAGUAUUUUCAAAGAAACUAAUUAAAAUUCUUUGGAAUUUUAUAUGCUCACCAAGCCGAAGAUCAGUAGGAGCCUUGUGAGAGGCAGCUCCGAGAAGGACACUGAGAUACUGGUCCUAGCCCUACGGGGUGCAGCAGGCGCGAAACCUUUACAAUGCACGAAAGUGUGAUAAGGGAAUCCCAAGUGCUUAUGCUUUGCAUAGGCUUUUGCCAAGAGCAAAAAUCUUGGCGAAUAAGUGAUGGGUAAGACUGGUGCCAGCAGCCGCGGUAACACCAGCGUCACAAGUGGCAAUCACAAUUAUUGGGUCUAAAGCGUCCGUAGCCUGUUUAUUAAGUCUUUUGUGAAAUCGUUGCGCUUAACGUAACGGUGUGCAAAAGAUACUGUUAAACUUGAGACUGGAAGGAGUUAGAGGUAUUCCAAGGGGAGCGGUAAAAUGCUAUAAUCCUUGGAGGACCACCUGUGGCGAAAGCGUCUAACUAGUACAGCUCUGACGGUGAGGGACGAAAGCCAGGGGAGCGAACCGGAUUAGAUACGAGAAAUCAUGUCUGAUUUCUGGAAUUAGCUCGUAAUUCGUUCAUUAAGACUAUUACAAGUUAAAGAAAGAAAUUGUUAUAUGAUGAUUUACUCGCUAAUUACCCGAGUAGUCCUGGCCAUAAACGCUGCGAGCAAGGUGUUACAUAUUCUUCGUGAAUAUGUAGUGUCGAAACGAAGGUGUUAAGCUCGCCACCUGGGAAGUAUGGUCGCAAGACUGAAACUUAAAGGAAUUGGCGGGGGAGCACCACAAGGGGUGCGGCGUGCGGUUUAAUCUAAUUCAACGCAGAAAAUCUCACCAGAAGCGACGGCAGGAUGAAGGUCAGGUUAAAGGCCUUACCAGACAAGCCGAGAGGUAGUGCAUGGCCGUCGUCAGCUCGUGCUGUAAAGUGUCCUGUUAAGUCAGGCAACGAGCGAGACCUGUACCUACAAUUGCUAGCAACAUCUUGGAUUGAGCACAUUGUGGGGACUGCCUUGGAAACAAGGAGGAAGGCGCAGGCUACGAUAGGUCUGUAUGCUCCGAAUCUUCUGGGCUACACGCGCGCAACAAUGAUAAGGACAAUGGGAUACAACUCCGUAAGGAGAAGUUAAACCUCUAAACCUUAUCUUAGUUCAGAUUGAGGACUGUAAUUUGCCCUCAUGACGCUGGAAUCCCUAGUAAUCGGAAGUCAUCAUCUUCCGGUGAAUAUGUCCCUGCUCCUUGCACACACCGCCCGUCAAACCAUCCGAGCAGGGUUUAGGUGAGAUUCAUCUUUAAGGUAAAUCGAAUCUAAACUCAGUGAGGCGGGUUAAGUCGUCACAAGGUAGCCGUAGGGGAACCUGCGGCUGGAUCACCUCCU
Molecule: ribosomal RNA, 1614 nt
Filed under: Candidatus Woesearchaeota archaeon
Lineage: Archaea; Nanobdellati; Candidatus Woesearchaeota
Description: bacterial SSU rRNA
Rfam family: Archaeal small subunit ribosomal RNA
Source: RNAcentral